ACCCUAAUGCUGGAAUUUGGUAGACAGAAGGUAGUUAAGAUAUCUCGAGCUUAACUCGUGAGUGUUCAAGUCACUCUUAGGGUA
RNAcentral lists this transfer RNA (84 nucleotides) under Ceratocystis fimbriata. RNAcentral's name for it is "tRNA-Leu". The record is from RNAcentral. Lineage: Eukaryota; Fungi; Ascomycota; Sordariomycetes; Microascales; Ceratocystidaceae.